AAAGCUGCCAAAUGCCAGGACCUUGCUCCUUUUCCUGCAGAAGGAGGAUCGGCCUUCAGAAGUUUAGGAAAUCCUGCCGCAAAUGAAGAGAAAUGGUUGUACUGAGAUUCCAGAUGAAACCUCAAAUCUGUAUACUGGCACAAACUAAACUGAGAAAAAUGGACCAAAAAGAUGUUCCUAGUGUUUCCCUUCUCCUUCUCAGAUGCAAAGAAAGGUGCUCAAAGAGGACACAAUGGUUUAGUGAAUUGGAUCCAAGAGACAUUUCACCAUGCUUAAGGCAGAUGUUAUCAACACGGAUCAUUUGUAUUGGCAGUCCUUCAAAAGUUACUCUCUAACCAAGCUCAAAUCAGGAAGAGCACAAGCAGUCUCAAUUCUGACCGUAAGGAAAAGCUGUUGCGUGUUCAAGACCCAGUUACAGUCUUAGCAGCCUUCACGUCUGCUCUCAGAUCUGACUCCCCCUGCACGGCCACAGCACUCUCAUUCCACUCGUAUCUUUCCCUACUUGGCAUUCAGACGGUCUCUUCUGCUUACAUUAAAAGCCCAGCACUUGCAUUCUGAGAUGUCUUCAAAAUCUUGUCAGUCUUAAAAUGACAUCUAAUUACUGCUGAUUCACAGUAGUACAUACAGCCUGUGAAUUCCAGGCAGGGCAGAAGGUGAGAAUAGCUUCACUGCAAGUUUUGGAAUUGGAGAUGCAUGAAGGGAAAACUUGCAAGAACCCCAAGAACAGAGGAAAGUAUGAUGACAGAAUUACUGUGUUGCCUGACCAACAAAGCCAAGAGCUAUCUGAGAGAAAUCUCAACUAUUUACUGCGUGUUCAGUGUAGAGUCAGAAAUUCAGCCAGAAAUAAAAAAAGAGCUCCUUCUACUUCAGAAGCAGUCUUUGCACUAAGAAUAUAUUUGUUAAUUGUGUUUGAAAUAUUCAAGCCUGUAGAAACAUGAAAAUGAGUGAAAUGGUUUACAUCAGCCACACCUCUA
Molecule: long non-coding RNA, 974 nt
Organism: Corapipo altera (White-ruffed manakin)
Lineage: Eukaryota; Metazoa; Chordata; Aves; Passeriformes; Pipridae
Exons: 4
Source: RefSeq, a predicted model, not a curated record